GCCACUUAUACCUUGCCCUGCUCUCUCUGUAAGUCCUCUCAUAGCAGGAAAACUCUGCAAGAGGCGUUGAGUGGGAAAUCCAGGCACAGAACCUGGACAGAUCGACCUGCACACUGGUCCAAAGUGUAUGGCUGACUGGCGGCAAGUGAGAAACUGCAGGUGUGUGGGUUUAUUCCCUACUCUAAUAAGAAGGACCAUUUUUUGUGCUGUUAACCAGGGGAUUCCGCUUGGGGUCUUAUUAAAUUGAUUGGCAAAUGAGAACUUGGAAACACCCUAGAAAGGUAAGGUUUGCUGGAAUUCAGUUGGGAUGUGGGCCGAGGCACCUACUCUGGAAUCCCAGAGCAGUCUGGGAACAGUUCUAGAACAUUCACUGGGACAGUGUGAAUGAACCAUUUCGGAACAGUCACUGU
RNAcentral lists this long non-coding RNA (410 nucleotides) under Marmota monax (woodchuck). Lineage: Eukaryota; Metazoa; Chordata; Mammalia; Rodentia; Sciuridae. The record is from RNAcentral.